CCUGAAGCUUCGGCUUAGCAUCUACCAAAAUUGGAACGAUAAAGAGAAGAUUAGCAUGGUCCC
RNAcentral lists this small nuclear RNA (63 nucleotides) under Hippocampus comes (tiger tail seahorse). Lineage: Eukaryota; Metazoa; Chordata; Actinopteri; Syngnathiformes; Syngnathidae. The record is from RNAcentral.